RNAcentral lists this ribosomal RNA (429 nucleotides) under Pseudomonadota bacterium. Its description in RNAcentral is "Proteobacteria bacterium partial 16S ribosomal RNA". It matches the Rfam family "Bacterial small subunit ribosomal RNA", at positions 355 to 776 of the family's 1533-position model. Lineage: Bacteria; Pseudomonadati; Pseudomonadota. The record is from RNAcentral.
UGGGGAAUAUUGGACAAUGGGCGAAAGCCUGAUCCAGCCAUGCCGCGUGUGUGAAGAAGGUCUUCGGAUUGUAAAGCACUUUAAGUUGGGAGGAAGGGCAGUAAGCGAAUACCUUGCUGUUCUGACGUUACCGACAGAAUAAGCACCGGCUAACUCUGUGCCAGCAGCCGCGGUAAUACAGAGGGUGCAAGCGUUAAUCGGAAUUACUGGGCGUAAAGCGCGCGUAGGUGGUUCGUUAAGUUGAAUGUGAAAGCCCCGGGCUCAACCUGGGAACUGCAUCAAAAACUGGCGAGCUAGAGGAGGGCAGAGGGUGGUGGAAUUUCCUGUGUAGCGGUGAAAUGCGUAGAUAUAGGAAGGAACACCAGUGGCGAAGGCGACCACCUGGGCUCAUACUGACACUGAGGUGCGAAAGCGUGGGGAGCAAACAGG